GGAGAGGUGCCGGAGUGGUUGAACGGGGCGGUCUCGAAAACCGUUGAACUCUUUUGGGGUUCCGAGGGUUCGAAUCCCUCCCUCUCCGCCA
Molecule: transfer RNA, 91 nt
Filed under: Chlorobiota bacterium
Lineage: Bacteria; Pseudomonadati; Chlorobiota
Description: tRNA-Ser
Rfam family: tRNA
About the family: Transfer RNA (tRNA) molecules are approximately 80 nucleotides in length. Their secondary structure includes four short double-helical elements and three loops (D, anti-codon, and T loops).
Source: RNAcentral